This 253-nucleotide ribosomal RNA is filed under the name uncultured bacterium. RNAcentral's name for it is "partial 16S ribosomal RNA". It matches the Rfam family "Bacterial small subunit ribosomal RNA", at positions 524 to 776 of the family's 1533-position model. The record is from RNAcentral.
UACGUAGGGUGCAAGCGUUGUCCGGAAUUAUUGGGCGUAAAGAGCUCGUAGGCGGUCUGUCGCGUCGGCUGUGAAAACCCGGGGCUCAACCCCGGGCCUGCAGUCGAUACGGGCAGACUAGAGUGUGGUAGGGGAGACUGGAAUUCCUGGUGUAGCGGUGAAAUGCGCAGGUAUCAGGAGGAACACCGGUGGCGAAGGCGGGUCUCUGGGCCAUAACUGACGCUGAGGAGCGAAAGCGUGGGGAGCGAACAGG